ACUGCAAGAAACAUUUAUGGCUGACGUCAUUUUCGGGUUUCAAUUAAUUUCUUUGUCAACACAGCAAUACUGCUAGCCUUCUUCCAGGCCUUUCCUUGGGUUCCUCAUUGUGAGCUAAGUCGAAUCACCAACAACAGGAAACCCGAAAGCCACAGGAUACCCGAAUGAAAUUUUUAGGACCAGGCUCAACUAUCCACAGGAAACCCAAAAUCACAAGAUACCGGGGAAAAAAUAUAUUACCAGGCUGAACCAACCAAGGAAAACCAAUAUCACAGGAUACCCGGAAAAAAAACUAGGCUACGAUAACCACAGGGAACCCAACCCUAGACCAGUACUUACAAUGUUGACAUCUGAGUAGUAAAAGAGAGUUCUUGUGCUGGUGAAGAUGACAAGCAAUACGAUGAUAUGAACAAGGUACGCCAUGUAGGUAAGGCGGCUGAGUGGGAUCCAGAACCGAGCGGACAAGAUCUUAUUCACGAGGCCUGGAGAGAGAAUGACGACAUGUUAAUAAGGCAGGUACGCCAUGUAGGUAAGGCGGCUGAGAGGGAUCCAGAACCGAGCGGAAAGGAUCUUAUUCACGAGGCCUGGAGAGAGAAUGACGUCAUGUUAAUAAGGCAGGUACGUCAUGUACGUCAUGUACGUCAUGUACGUCAUGUAGGUAAGGCGGCUGAGAGGGAUCCAGAACAGAUAGCGAAAAGUAUCUUACACGAGACCUGGGGAGAGCAUGACGUCAUGGUUAACAUGUAGGUAAGUUGGCUGAAAGGGUUUCAGAACCGAUAGC
Molecule: long non-coding RNA, 781 nt
Organism: Nematostella vectensis (starlet sea anemone)
Lineage: Eukaryota; Metazoa; Cnidaria; Anthozoa; Actiniaria; Edwardsiidae
Exons: 2
Source: RefSeq, a predicted model, not a curated record